UCCUCACGAGAACUGUAUUCCUGUAUGAUUAUCUUCAACAAGAAAAUUUUGAAUUUUUACAAGGUUGUGUCGAGUUCAUCGCACAAAACAAAAAAAGGCUUUGGAACACAUCAUAUCAAGAGACUGGAAAUUUUGCAGGCAGCAGCAGAUUACUAUUAUGUGGACGUGGUGCGUCAGCAGCUCAAUCCCAGACUAGAAACUAUCUGGUACACUGCAUUAGAUUGCAUGGUAAAGUAGAAGUUAUCCGAGUACAAAAUUGUGGUAAAGCUGUGAGUUUUAAUCGAUUCGUUAUGGUUUUGUAACCGGUGUGGAUCUUUUGUUUCCCAAAUAUUAAAUUGAUAUGGUAUUAUGGUCUUCCUUCGAGACAUGUCGACUAGCACUAAAAUAGUGCACUUAAAAA
RNAcentral lists this long non-coding RNA (400 nucleotides) under Musa acuminata (dwarf banana). RNAcentral's name for it is "long non-coding RNA (MACU_LNC006377)". Lineage: Eukaryota; Viridiplantae; Streptophyta; Magnoliopsida; Zingiberales; Musaceae. The record is from RNAcentral.